RNAcentral lists this ribosomal RNA (484 nucleotides) under uncultured bacterium. Its description in RNAcentral is "partial 16S ribosomal RNA". It matches the Rfam family "Bacterial small subunit ribosomal RNA", at positions 30 to 507 of the family's 1533-position model. The record is from RNAcentral.
AUUGAACGCUGGCGGCAGGCCUAACACAUGCAAGUCGAGCGGAUGAAGGGAGCUCGCUCCUGGAUUCAGCGGCGGACGGGUGAGUAAUGCCUAGGAAUCUGCCUGGUAGUGGGGGAUAACGUCCGGAAACGGGCGCUAAUACCGCAUACGUCAUGAGGGAGAAAGUGGGGGAUCUUCGGACCUCACGCUAUCAGCUGAGCCUAGGUCGGAUUAGCUAGUUGGUGGGGUAAAGGCCUACCAAGGCGACGAUCCGUAACUGGUCUGAGAGGAUGAUCAGUCACACUGGAACUGAGACACGGUCCAGACUCCUACGGGAGGCAGCAGUGGGGAAUAUUGGACAAUGGGCGAAAGCCUGAUCCAGCCAUGCCGCGUGUGUGAAGAAGGUCUUCGGAUUGUAAAGCACUUUAAGUUGGGAGGAAGGGCAGUAAGUUAAUACCUUGCUGUUUUGACGUUACCAACAGAAUAAGCACCGGCUAACUUCGUG